RNAcentral lists this ribosomal RNA (418 nucleotides) under uncultured eukaryote. RNAcentral describes it as "SSU rRNA". It matches the Rfam family "Eukaryotic small subunit ribosomal RNA", at positions 592 to 1018 of the family's 1831-position model. The record is from RNAcentral.
CAAUAGCGUAUAUUAAAGUUGUUGCAGUUAAAAGCUCGUAGUUGGAUUUCGGAGCGGGCCUGUUGGUCGGCCGCAAGGUCUGUUACUGACUGGUCUGUUCUUCUUCGCAAAGACUGCGUGUGCUCUUCACUGAGUGUGCGUAGGAUUUACGACGUUUACUUUGAAAAAUUAGAGUGUUCAAAGCAGGCUAUGGCUUGAAUACAUGAGCAUGGAAUAAUGGAAUAGGACUUUGGCCCUAUUUUGUUGGUUUCUAGGACCGAAGUAAUGAUUAAGAGGGACAAUUGGGGGCAUCCGUAUUUCGUUGUCAGAGGUGAAAUUCUUGGAUUUACGAAAGACGAACAACUGCGAAAGCACUUGCCAAGAGUGUUUUCAUUAAUCAAGAACGAAAGUUAGAGGAUCGAAGAUGAUUAGAUACCGU